GGCGCCACAAACACUAGAGCAUAUACUAUAACGAUAUGGUAUCAUAUCGUUAUAGUAUAUGCUCUAGUGUUUGUGGCGCC
Non-coding RNA from Pelobates cultripes (western spadefoot toad), 80 nucleotides. The record is from the annotation of a GenBank genome assembly. Lineage: Eukaryota; Metazoa; Chordata; Amphibia; Anura; Pelobatidae.